CAAUAUGGUAGUUCUUUCAGAUAGUCGAAUGACUUGGAAAAGUCAGUCAAAGAGGGUAAAAACCCCGUAGACGAAAUGUGGAAGACACCUAGGAGGAUCCUGAGUACGGCGGAACACGAGAAAUUCCGUCGGAAUCCGGGAGGACCAUCUCCCAAGGCUAAAUACUCCCUAGUGACCGAUAGUGAACCAGUACCGUGAGGGAAAGGUGAAAAGCACCCCGGAAGGGGAGUGAAAUAGAACCUGAAACCGUGUGCCUACAACAAGUCAAAGCCCGUUAAUGGGUGAUGGCGUGCCUUUUGUAGAAUGAACCGGCGAGUUACGAUUGCAUGCGAGGUUAAGUUGAAGAGACGGAGCCGCAGCGAAAGCGAGUCUGAAUAGGGCGUUUGAGUAUGUAGUCGUAGACCCGAAACCAUGUGAUCUACCCAUGUCCAGGUUGAAGGUGCGGUAAAACGCACUGGAGGACCGAACCCACGUACGUUGAAAAGUGCGGGGAUGAGGUGUGGGUAGCGGAGAAAUUCCAAACGAACUUGGAGAUAGCUGGUUCUCUCCGAAAUAGCUUUAGGGCUAGCCUCGGAAUUGAGAAUGAUGGAGGUAGAGCACUGUUUGGACUAGGGGCCCAUCUCGGGUUACCGAAUUCAGAUAAACUCCGAAUGCCAUUCAUUCAUAUCCGGGAGUCAGACUGUGAGUGAUAAGAUCCAUAGUCGAAAGGGAAACAGCCCAGACCACCAGCUAAGGUCCCAAAAUAUAUGUUAAGUGGAAAAGGAUGUGGGGUUGCACAGACAACUAGG
Molecule: ribosomal RNA, 788 nt
Filed under: Enterococcus faecium
Lineage: Bacteria; Bacillati; Bacillota; Bacilli; Lactobacillales; Enterococcaceae
Description: partial 23S ribosomal RNA
Rfam family: Bacterial large subunit ribosomal RNA
Source: RNAcentral